Molecule: ribosomal RNA, 252 nt
Filed under: uncultured bacterium
Lineage: Bacteria
Description: partial 16S ribosomal RNA
Rfam family: Bacterial small subunit ribosomal RNA
Source: RNAcentral
UACGAAGGGGCUAGCGUUGCUCGGAAUUACUGGGCGUAAAGGGCGCGUAGGCGGACAGUUUAGUCAGAGGUGAAAGCCCAGGGCUCAACCUUGGAAUAGCCUUUGAUACUGGCUGUCUUGAGUUCGGGAGAGGUGAGUGGAAUGCCGAGUGUAGAGGUGAAAUUCGUAGAUAUUCGGCGGAACACCAGUGGCGAAGGCGACUCACUGGCCCGAUACUGACGCUGAGGCGCGAAAGCGUGGGGAGCAAACAGG